RNAcentral lists this non-coding RNA (32 nucleotides) under Rattus norvegicus (Norway rat). Lineage: Eukaryota; Metazoa; Chordata; Mammalia; Rodentia; Muridae. The record is from RNAcentral.
UGAUUGGGAAUAACUCCAUAAUUAUGUGCACU